CCUACGGGAGGCAGCAGUGAGGGAUAUUGGUCAAUGGACGAGAGUCUGAACCAGCCAAGUAGCGUGGAGGAUGACUGCCCUAUGGGUUGUAAACGUCUUUUAUAUGGGAAUAAAAUGUGCCACGUGUGGGAUUUUGUAUGUACCAUAUGAAUAAGGAACGGCUAACUCGGUGCCAGCAGCCGCGGUCAUACGGAUGAUCCGAGCGUUAUCCGGAUUUAGUGGGGUUAAAGGGAGCGUAGGUGGAUUUGUAAGUCAGUCGUGAAAGUUGGCGGCUCAACCGUAAAAUUGCAGUUGAAACUGGGAGUCUGGAGUACAGUAGAGGCGGGCGGAAUUCGUGGUGUAGCGGUGAAAUGCUUAGAUAUCACGAAGAACUCCGAUUGCGAAGGCAGCUCACUGGACUGCAACUGACACUGAGGCUCGAAAGUGUGGGUAUCAAACAGGAUUAGAUACCCGAGUAGUC
RNAcentral lists this ribosomal RNA (460 nucleotides) under uncultured bacterium. Its description in RNAcentral is "partial 16S ribosomal RNA". It matches the Rfam family "Bacterial small subunit ribosomal RNA", at positions 338 to 795 of the family's 1533-position model. The record is from RNAcentral.